GAGUCCCCGCUGAGACUGAGCAGACGCCUCCAGGAUCUGUCGGCAGCUGCUGUUCUGAGGGAGAGCAGAGACCAUGUCUGACAUAGAAGAGGUGGUGGAAGAGUACGAGGAGGAGGAGCAGGAAGAAGCAGCUGUUGAAGAGCAGGAGGAGGCAGCGGAAGAGGAUGCUGAAGCAGAGGCUGAGACCGAGGAGACCAGGGCAGAAGAAGAUGAAGAAGAAGAGGAAGCAAAGGAGGCUGAAGAUGGCCCAAUGGAGGAGUCCAAACCAAAGCCCAGGUCGUUCAUGCCCAACUUGGUGCCUCCCAAGAUCCCCGAUGGAGAGAGAGUGGACUUUGAUGACAUCCACCGGAAGCGCAUGGAGAAGGACCUGAAUGAGUUGCAGGCGCUGAUCGAGGCUCACUUUGAGAACAGGAAGAAAGAGGAGGAGGAGCUCGUUUCUCUCAAAGACAGGAUCGAGAGACGUCGGGCAGAGCGGGCCGAGCAGCAGCGCAUCCGGAAUGAGCGGGAGAAGGAGCGGCAGAACCGCCUGGCUGAAGAGAGGGCUCGACGAGAGGAGGAGGAGAACAGGAGGAAGGCUGAGGAUGAGGCCCGGAAGAAGAAGGCUUUGUCCAACAUGAUGCAUUUUGGGGGUUACAUCCAGAAGCAGGCCCAGACAGAGCGGAAAAGUGGGAAGAGGCAGACUGAGCGGGAAAAGAAGAAGAAGAUUCUGGCUGAGAGGAGGAAGGUGCUGGCCAUUGACCACCUGAAUGAAGAUCAGCUGAGGGAGAAGGCCAAGGAGCUGUGGCAGAGCAUCUAUAACUUGGAGGCAGAGAAGUUCGACCUGCAGGAGAAGUUCAAGCAGCAGAAAUAUGAGGCCACCUGGGACCUGAGCCAGUCAGCUCCAGCGUUGCUCUUUGUCCUUCCCACUUUUCUUGCAGAUCAAUGUUCUCCGAAACAGGAUCAACGAUAACCAGAAAGUCUCCAAGACCCGCGGGAAGGCUAAAGUCACCGGGCGCUGGAAAUAGAGCCUGGCCUCCUUCACCAAAGAUCUGCUCCUCGCUCGCACCUGCCUCCGGCCUGCACUCCCCCAGUUCCCGGGCCCUCCUGGGCACCCCAGGCAGCUCCUGUUUGGAAAUGGGGAGCUGGCCUAGGUGGGAGCCACCACUCCUGCCUGCCCCCACACCCACUCCACACCAGUAAUAAAAAGCCACCACACA
Homo sapiens (human) is the source of this 1196-nucleotide long non-coding RNA. NCBI's taxonomy places the organism in Eukaryota, Metazoa, Chordata, Mammalia, Primates, Hominidae. The record is from Ensembl.